This 459-nucleotide ribosomal RNA is filed under the name uncultured bacterium. RNAcentral's name for it is "partial 16S ribosomal RNA". It matches the Rfam family "Bacterial small subunit ribosomal RNA", at positions 338 to 795 of the family's 1533-position model. The record is from RNAcentral.
CCUACGGGAGGCAGCAGUGAGGAAUAUUGGUCAAUGGGCGGGAGCCUGAACCAGCCAAGCCGCGUGAGGGAAGAAGGUACAGCGUAUCGUAAACCUCUUUUGUCAGGGAACAAAGUCGGGGACUAGUCCCCGGAUGAGGGUACCUGAAGAAAAAGCAUCGGCUAACUCCGUGCCAGCAGCCGCGGUAAAACGGAGGAUGCGAGCGUUAUCCGGAUUGAUUGGGUUUAAAGGGUGCGCAGGCGGCCUGUUAAGUCAGCGGUAAAAGCCCGGGGCUCAACCCCGGCGAGCCGUUGAAACUGGCGGGCUGGAGUGGGAGAGUAGUACGUGGAAUGCGCGGUGUAGCGGUGAAAUGCUUAGAUAUCGCGCAGAACCCCGAUUGCGAAGGCAGCGUACCGGCUCCACACUGACGCUGAGGCACGAAAGCGUGGGUAUCGAACAGGAUUAGAUACCCUAGUAGUC